GGGGGCUGCUCCUAGUACGAGAGGACCGGAGUGGACGCAUCACUGGUGUUCGGGUUGUCAUGCCAAUGGCACUGCCCGGUAGCUAAAUGCGGAAGAGAUAAGUGCUGAAAGCAUCUAAGCACGAAACUUGCCCCGAGAUGAGUUCUCCCUGACUCCUUGAGAGUCCUGAAGGAACGUUGAAGACGACGACGUUGAUAGGCCGGGUGUGUAAGCGCAGCGAUGCGUUGAGCUAACCGGUACUAAUGAACCGUGAGGCUUAACCUUACAACGCCGAAG
RNAcentral lists this ribosomal RNA (276 nucleotides) under Escherichia coli. RNAcentral's name for it is "partial 23S ribosomal RNA". It matches the Rfam family "Bacterial large subunit ribosomal RNA", at positions 2667 to 2925 of the family's 2925-position model. The record is from RNAcentral. Lineage: Bacteria; Pseudomonadati; Pseudomonadota; Gammaproteobacteria; Enterobacterales; Enterobacteriaceae.